This 87-nucleotide transfer RNA is filed under the name Actinomycetes bacterium. RNAcentral's name for it is "Actinobacteria bacterium tRNA-Leu". It matches the Rfam family "tRNA". Rfam says of the family: Transfer RNA (tRNA) molecules are approximately 80 nucleotides in length. RNAcentral also lists the same sequence under 1 other name. Lineage: Bacteria; Bacillati; Actinomycetota; Actinomycetes. The record is from RNAcentral.
GCCGGAGUGGCGGAACUGGUAGACGCGCUGGACUCAAAAUUCGGUCCCCGAGAGGGGGUGUGGGUUCGAGUCCCACCUCCGGCACCA